AUGCUAUGUAGAUUUGUAGCCACAGAAGAAGAGGAUACCACCUGGUGUUUUGCUUCCAGAACAGUUUCUAAAGUCUCAUUUUGCCAUUCUGGGACAUCAUUCUACAGUGUGGAAAGAAAGAAAAAAGAAGAGAUCCCACGAUUAUUUGUGCUUCUAAGCCUUCAGUUGCAUAAUAGUAAAGGAGUUAGAGAUGCAGAGCUGGGAGAAGGAAAGUCCAUUCCACUGAAAACAAAGAUCGGAUUCAUGACCACCUGAGGAACCUGAACACCAACAAGUCUGUGGGUCCUGAUUAGAUGCAUCCCAGAUUCCUGAGGGAACUAGCUGAUGUAGUUGCCAAGCCACUCUCAAUUAUAUUUGCAAACUUGUGGUGAUCAGGUGAAGUCUCCUGGAUACUUUCAAGAUGAGAUGCCCAGGACCAGGCCCUUCACAACCUGAUCUAGUUGUGGUGUCCCUGUUCAUUGCAGGGGAGAUGGACUGGAUGGCCUUUAAAGGUCCUUCCGAGCUCUAAGAAUUCUAUAAUUCUAUGAUUCUUUGUAUGUCACCUGCAUGUGACACUUGAGUCAAGCCCUGUGAGUGUGUAUGAGGUAUUCAUAUGCACUAUGUUAGGAAAGUGGCUUUGCUCUAACAUUUCUAGGGGAAAAAAGGAUAUCAGCUGCUGUACUAGGCCUUGCAUGGAGAAUAAUUAAGAAAAUGGUAAGAUUUGUGGGUGUUAGUUAAAACUUAAAUUUACAAUGACUGUGCAUAUAAUGUUGUACAAACCAGCUUUUAUGAUUAAUGUGCUUAAAAUAUAAUUAUCUACCAUGCAUUUUUUAUGUGCCUGCGAUUUAUAGACCUCACUGAAGAUGACAAAAAUAUAUUCUGUGCCUACUCAGGUAUGUUAGGAAUAGCUGUCUUCUAUCUUUUCUUAAGAUAUUUUUGGACUUGCACACACAAGCAUACAUUCACACAAAUGAGCAUUAUACACCUGAGGAUAGAUUUGGCUUUAUUUUAUU
RNAcentral lists this long non-coding RNA (992 nucleotides) under Coturnix japonica (Japanese quail). RNAcentral describes it as "lncRNA (ENSCJPG00005003521.1)". The record is from RNAcentral. Lineage: Eukaryota; Metazoa; Chordata; Aves; Galliformes; Phasianidae.